This 1372-nucleotide ribosomal RNA is filed under the name uncultured bacterium. RNAcentral describes it as "bacterial SSU rRNA". It matches the Rfam family "Bacterial small subunit ribosomal RNA", at positions 28 to 1381 of the family's 1533-position model. The record is from RNAcentral.
GAUGAACGCUGGCGGCGUGCCUAAUACAUGCAAGUCGAGCGAACGGACGAGAAGCUUGCUUCUCUGAUGUUAGCGGCGGACGGGUGAGUAACACGUGGAUAACCUGCCUAUAAGACUGGGAUAACUUCGGGAAACCGGAGCUAAUACCGGAUAAUAUUUUGAACCGCAUGGUUCAAAAGUGAAAGACGGUCUUGCUGUCACUUAUAGAUGGAUCCGCGCUGCAUUAGCUAGUUGGUAAGGUAACGGCUUACCAAGGCAACGAUGCAUAGCCGACCUGAGAGGGUGAUCGGCCACACUGGAACUGAGACACGGUCCAGACUCCUACGGGAGGCAGCAGUAGGGAAUCUUCCGCAAUGGGCGAAAGCCUGACGGAGCAACGCCGCGUGAGUGAUGAAGGUCUUCGGAUCGUAAAACUCUGUUAUUAGGGAAGAACAUAUGUGUAAGUAACUGUGCACAUCUUGACGGUACCUAAUCAGAAAGCCACGGCUAACUACGUGCCAGCAGCCGCGGUAAUACGUAGGUGGCAAGCGUUAUCCGGAAUUAUUGGGCGUAAAGCGCGCGUAGGCGGUUUUUUAAGUCUGAUGUGAAAGCCCACGGCUCAACCGUGGAGGGUCAUUGGAAACUGGAAAACUUGAGUGCAGAAGAGGAAAGUGGAAUUCCAUGUGUAGCGGUGAAAUGCGCAGAGAUAUGGAGGAACACCAGUGGCGAAGGCGACUUUCUGGUCUGUAACUGACGCUGAUGUGCGAAAGCGUGGGGAUCAAACAGGAUUAGAUACCCUGGUAGUCCACGCCGUAAACGAUGAGUGCUAAGUGUUAGGGGGUUUCCGCCCCUUAGUGCUGCAGCUAACGCAUUAAGCACUCCGCCUGGGGAGUACGACCGCAAGGUUGAAACUCAAAGGAAUUGACGGGGACCCGCACAAGCGGUGGAGCAUGUGGUUUAAUUCGAAGCAACGCGAAGAACCUUACCAAAUCUUGACAUCCUUUGACAACUCUAGAGAUAGAGCCUUCCCCUUCGGGGGACAAAGUGACAGGUGGUGCAUGGUUGUCGUCAGCUCGUGUCGUGAGAUGUUGGGUUAAGUCCCGCAACGAGCGCAACCCUUAAGCUUAGUUGCCAUCAUUAAGUUGGGCACUCUAAGUUGACUGCCGGUGACAAACCGGAGGAAGGUGGGGAUGACGUCAAAUCAUCAUGCCCCUUAUGAUUUGGGCUACACACGUGCUACAAUGGACAAUACAAAGGGCAGCGAAACCGCGAGGUCAAGCAAAUCCCAUAAAGUUGUUCUCAGUUCGGAUUGUAGUCUGCAACUCGACUACAUGAAGCUGGAAUCGCUAGUAAUCGUAGAUCAGCAUGCUACGGUGAAUACGUUCCCGGGUCU